Molecule: non-coding RNA, 2109 nt
Organism: Aegilops tauschii subsp. strangulata
Lineage: Eukaryota; Viridiplantae; Streptophyta; Magnoliopsida; Poales; Poaceae
Source: RefSeq, a predicted model, not a curated record
ACUACGCAGUCCCUACAAUCACGCAGAGGGCAGAAAAAAAAGGAAAGUGAUCGCAAGCAGAUCCCCUCGCUCGCUAACUGCAAGGCCGCGACCCAUGCCGCUGCCUGAUCCUCCUCCGCCACCGAAGCCGCCGCAGAAGCGACGAAUGCGCCGGCAGCACCUCCCACCCCCUCUUAUCAUCUUCCCUAUCCCUACCCAGAACGAGACCUCGCAAGCCGACGGAUUAGAGGAGAGGAAAAUUUGGUAUGUUGUCGCAGACCCGAUGCAUUGCGCCUCCAUUACAAAUCCUAAAUACUUUUGAUCUAGAGCUGCUACCUACUGGACUUGCUCGGCGUCACGGACGACGAGGACGUCUACAUCUCCCUCCUCAGGGACUCCGCUGACACUGUCGAGGUCGCCGCCGUGCACACCCACAUCGUCGCCACAGGUGUUGCGCCUGGUCUCCCCCCACCGCUAGCCUACCCGCCGCUGCUCGCCUACGCGAGGUGUUCGACGGAAAAUUCCCCUCAAGGACGGCAUCACGUGGGCGACCAUGGUGUCUGCAUCCCGCCAGUUCGCGCCCUCGAUAUGCCUGGAUGUUGGUCUGAACCUUCUGGCCGGCUACAUAAGCAAGCACUCAGGCAGCUGGAUGGAUUCCCGGCGCACAGCUUGCCGUGAACCUUAAAUUGCUGCUCCAACAGGCAGCAAACCAAUCAUUUGAUAUUUGAGGGACAGCAGCCAGUAGGCGCUUUGAGGAAGCAUUGGUGCUGACAAAUAAAAGAAUGCUUUAGGUAUACCUAUUUACACUUUUCAAUUGGUUUGAUGCCAUCCGUAUGUGAUUCACUAACCAAGAAUGGAAAUAUUCCUUGCUAUUAGAAAUUUCUAUGGUGGUGCUUCUUUAGGUUCUGCCUGAAGAAUGUUCCAGUGCCAAUAAUCGGUUAUACUUUGUAAUGGUGAUUCCUAAUUUGGUCUAAUUUCUAACUGUUAGCUACAGUUUACUUCAGUGGUAAUGCAGGUAUGCGAAGGAAGAAUUACUGGCUAUGGAUGAUUACUAUGAGCGUAUGAAAUUAUGAGUUCUGUAGGUUUCUUGAGCAAGAUGGGUUGUUCUAGCUUGUGAUGGUUAGAUUUUUUACGCAAUAGCAGUACUAGAUUAGUUGUUCUAGCUUCUUUAGGUUGUAACCAAUUGAAGGUAAUUUGAAGAUCGAUCCCACAGCUGAGUAUAUUCCGUUUUUUAUUAACCCGCAACAGAGUGUGUAUAGGAAAGUAUACUUUUGUGAAUUGUUAGUGCUCGCUUUUCUUACUGUACUUAGGCUGUUCAUGUUCAAAUUCUUCAGCGUUUUGUACACAUGAAAGGUACUUCUGUAAAUCAGUUUUUCAAAUUGGCAUCGAUAAGAUGCAUAUAGAUGCAUGUAUCCUUCUAAAAAAUUAACACCAAUGUUUCAUUUGUUUUGUGAGAUCAUUCCUUUUUCUUUUGGACAACUUUUGGAGAUUUUUAAGAUAGCUUUUUCUGUGGGCAAGCUGGACCUGAUACUGAAAGGACCUUAAGUUCUAACCAAAGAUGACAAUGUGGAUGGUCACAUUUCAAAGUGUUUUUUUUUCUCAGACACGUGUAAGUUUUGUCUCACAGUGUAGUAAAAAGAAUGGUUAAAAGGUGAGAAUCAGUAUAAAGUGGGGAGGGAGGAUCAUGCUUUCAAAGUUGGUCAGGUUUCACAAUAAUACUUGUGCAUGUGUUUGUGUGUCAUCAUCUUUAUAAUGCGUGUGAUGGAUGUUGUAGGUUCAUUGGUGACAACGAAGAGCAUGAAAAAUGGCAUCGUCUUGCUUCGUUUAUUCGCCUAAGCUAAAGUGCUUAAUCUUGAGAAGAUGAGAGAUAAUUGAUAGAGUACUCCUGACAAGUGCAUUUGUCAAAUUCUAGCCAACAGAUUGAAAGCAUGUCUGCCUAUUUGUGAGUUUCAGUUCCAUUCAAUCUUCCUUUUCUUUUUGGAUCCAAAGUAGAGGAGAUCAUGUGACUGGUUGUUGAUUUGCCUAAACACUAUUUCCUCUACAAGAGUGUAAAUGUUGUCGAUGCUUGUUUCCAACAUGCAAGGACAUGAGCACACACAUUUUGUGUAUCUAUCUAAAUCUCAUAUGCUA